RNAcentral lists this ribosomal RNA (465 nucleotides) under uncultured bacterium. Its description in RNAcentral is "partial 16S ribosomal RNA". It matches the Rfam family "Bacterial small subunit ribosomal RNA", at positions 28 to 507 of the family's 1533-position model. The record is from RNAcentral.
GACGAACGCUGGCGGCGUGCCUAACUCAUGCAAGUCGUACGGUAAGGCCCUUUCGGGGGUACACGCUUGGCUAACGGGUGGGUAACACGUGCGUAACCUACCCCCCACUUUGGGAUAACGCUAGGAAACUGGUUCUAAUACUGGCUAUGUGUUCUUGCUCCAUGCUGUGUGUUGGAAAGCUCCGGCGGUUGUGGAUGGACUCGCGGCCUAUCUGCUUGUUGGUGGGGUAGUGGCCUACCUAGGCGGCGACGGGUCGCCGGCCUGAGAGGGUGACCGGCCACAAUGGGACUGAGGUACGGCCCAGACACCUAAGGGAGGCAGCAGGGGGGAAUAUUGCACAAUGGGCGCAAGGCUGAUGCAGCAACGCCGCGGGCGGGAAGACGGCCUUCGGGUUGUAAACCGCGUUCAGCAGGGACGAAACGUUGUGUGACGGUACCUGCAGAAGAAGCACCGGCUAACUACGUG